GACGAACGCUGGCGGCGUGCCUAAUACAUGCAAGUCGAACGCUGAAGGAGGAGCUUGCUUCUCUGGAUGAGUUGCGCACGGGUGAGUAACGCGUAGGUAACCUGCCUGUUAGCGGGGGAUAACUAUUGGAAACGAUAGCUAAUACCGCAUAAGAGUAGAUGUUGCAUGACAUUUGCUUAAAAGGUGCAAUUGCAUCACUACCAGUUGAACCUGCGUUGGAUUAGCUAGUUGGUGGGGUAACGGCUUACCAAGGCGACGAUUCAUAACCGACCCGGGAGGGGGAUCGGCCACACUGGGAAUGAGACAACGGCCAGAAUUCUACGGGAGGGAGCAGGAGGGGAUCUUCGGCAAAGGACGGAAGUCUGAACGAGCAAAGCCGCGUGAGUGAAGAAGGUUUUCGGAUCGGAAAGAUCUGUUGUAAGAGAAGAACGAGAGUGGGAGUGGAAAGUGCACACUGUGACGGUAUCUUACCAGAAAGGGACGGCUAACUACGUG
This 495-nucleotide ribosomal RNA is filed under the name uncultured bacterium. RNAcentral describes it as "partial 16S ribosomal RNA". It matches the Rfam family "Bacterial small subunit ribosomal RNA", at positions 28 to 507 of the family's 1533-position model. The record is from RNAcentral.